Molecule: ribosomal RNA, 2897 nt
Filed under: Klebsiella pneumoniae
Lineage: Bacteria; Pseudomonadati; Pseudomonadota; Gammaproteobacteria; Enterobacterales; Enterobacteriaceae
Description: 23S ribosomal RNA
Rfam family: Bacterial large subunit ribosomal RNA
Source: RNAcentral
GGUUAAGCGACUAAGCGUACACGGUGGAUGCCCUGGCAGUCAGAGGCGAUGAAGGACGUGCUAAUCUGCGAAAAGCGUCGGUAAGGUGAUAUGAACCGUUAUAACCGGCGAUGUCCGAAUGGGGAAACCCAGUGCAAUUCGUUGCACUAUCGUUAACUGAAUACAUAGGUUAACGAGGCGAACCGGGGAACUGAAACAUCUAAGUACCCCGAGGAAAAGAAAUCAACCGAGAUUCCCCCAGUAGCGGCGAGCGAACGGGGAGCAGCCCAGAGUCUGAAUCAGCUUGUGUGUUAGUGGAACGGUCUGGAAAGUCCGACGGUACAGGGUGAUAGUCCCGUACACCAAAAUGCACAGGUUGUGAACUCGAAGAGUAGGGCGGGACACGUGGUAUCCUGUCUGAAUAUGGGGGACCAUCCUCCAAGGCUAAAUACUCCUGACUGACCGAUAGUGAACCAGUACCGUGAGGGAAAGGCGAAAAGAACCCCGGCGAGGGGAGUGAAAAAGAACCUGAAACCGUGUACGUACAAGCAGUGGGAGCACCUUCGGGUGUGACUGCGUACCUUUGUAUAAUGGGUCAGCGACUUAUAUUCUGUAGCAAGGUUAACCGUAUAGGGGAGCCGCAGGGAAACCGAGUCUUAACUGGGCGUUAAGUUGCAGGGUAUAGACCCGAAACCCGGUGAUCUAGCCAUGGGCAGGUUGAAGGUUGGGUAACACUAACUGGAGGACCGAACCGACUAAUGUUGAAAAAUUAGCGGAUGACUUGUGGCUGGGGGUGAAAGGCCAAUCAAACCGGGAGAUAGCUGGUUCUCCCCGAAAGCUAUUUAGGUAGCGCCUCGUGAACUCAUCUUCGGGGGUAGAGCACUGUUUCGGCUAGGGGUCAUCCCGACUUACCAACCCGAUGCAAACUACGAAUACCGAAGAAUGUUAUCACGGGAGACACACGGCGGGUGCUAACGUCCGUCGUGAAGAGGGAAACAACCCAGACCGCCAGCUAAGGUCCCAAAGUCAUGGUUAAGUGGGAAACGAUGUGGGAAGGCACAGACAGCCGGGAUGUUGGCUUAGAAGCAGCCAUCAUUUAAAGAAAGCGUAAUAGCUCACUGGUCGAGUCGGCCUGCGCGGAAGAUGUAACGGGGCUAAACCAUGCACCGAAGCUGCGGCAGCGACACUAUGUGUUGUUGGGUAGGGGAGCGUUCUGUAAGCCUGCGAAGGUGUGCUGUGAGGCAUGCUGGAGGUAUCAGAAGUGCGAAUGCUGACAUAAGUAACGAUAAAGCGGGUGAAAAGCCCGCUCGCCGGAAGACCAAGGGUUCCUGUCCAACGUUAAUCGGGGCAGGGUGAGUCGACCCUAAGGCGAGGCCGAAAGGCGUAGUCGAUGGGAAACAGGUUAAUAUUCCUGUACUUGGUGUUACUGCGAAGGGGGACGGAGAAGGCUAUGUUAGCCGGGCGACGGUUGUCCCGGUUUAAGCAUGUAGGCUGAUUGUCCGAGGCAAAUCCGGAUAAUCAAGGCUGAGGUGUGAUGACGAGGCACUACGGUGCUGAAGUAACAAAUGCCCUGCUUCCGAGGAAAAGCCUCUAAGCAUCAGGUAACAUUAAAUCGUACCCCAAACCGACACAGGUGGUCAGGUAGAGAAUACCAAGGCGCUUGAGAGAACUCGGGUGAAGGAACUAGGCAAAAUGGUGCCGUAACUUCGGGAGAAGGCACGCUGGUGUGUAGGUGAAGUCCCUGCGGAUGGAGCUGAGACCAGUCGAAGAUACCAGCUGGCUGCAACUGUUUAUUAAAAACACAGCACUGUGCAAACACGAAAGUGGACGUAUACGGUGUGACGCCUGCCCGGUGCCGGAAGGUUAAUUGAUGGGGUUAUCCGUAAGGAGAAGCUCUUGAUCGAAGCCCCGGUAAACGGCGGCCGUAACUAUAACGGUCCUAAGGUAGCGAAAUUCCUUGUCGGGUAAGUUCCGACCUGCACGAAUGGCGUAAUGAUGGCCGGGCUGUCUCCACCCGAGACUCAGUGAAAUUGAACUCGCUGUGAAGAUGCAGUGUACCCGCGGCAAGACGGAAAGACCCCGUGAACCUUUACUAUAGCUUGACACUGAACAUUGAGCCUUGAUGUGUAGGAUAGGUGGGAGGCUUUGAAGCGUGGACGCCAGUCUGCGUGGAGCCAACCUUGAAAUACCACCCUUUAAUGUUUGAUGUUCUAACGUUGGCCCAUGACCGGGGUUGCGGACAGUGUCUGGUGGGUAGUUUGACUGGGGCGGUCUCCUCCCAAAGCGUAACGGAGGAGCACGAAGGUUAGCUAAUCCUGGUCGGACAUCAGGAGGUUAGUGCAAUGGCAUAAGCUAGCUUGACUGCGAGCGUGACGGCGCGAGCAGGUGCGAAAGCAGGUCAUAGUGAUCCGGUGGUUCUGAAUGGAAGGGCCAUCGCUCAACGGAUAAAAGGUACUCCGGGGAUAACAGGCUGAUACCGCCCAAGAGUUCAUAUCGACGGCGGUGUUUGGCACCUCGAUGUCGGCUCAUCACAUCCUGGGGCUGAAGUAGGUCCCAAGGGUAUGGCUGUUCGCCAUUUAAAGUGGUACGCGAGCUGGGUUUAGAACGUCGUGAGACAGUUCGGUCCCUAUCUGCCGUGGGCGCUGGAGAAUUGAGGGGGCUGCUCCUAGUACGAGAGGACCGGAGUGGACGCAUCACUGGUGUUCGGGUUGUCAUGCCAAUGGCACUGCCCGGUAGCUAAAUGCGGAAGAGAUAAGUGCUGAAAGCAUCUAAGCACGAAACUUGCCCCGAGAUGAGUUCUCCCUGAGACUAUAAGUCUCCUGAAGGAACGUUAAAGACGAUGACGUUGAUAGGCCGGGUGUGUAAGCGCAGCGAUGCGUUGAGCUAACCGGUACUAAUGAACCGUGAGGCUUAACCUU